RNAcentral lists this ribosomal RNA (207 nucleotides) under uncultured bacterium. Its description in RNAcentral is "partial 16S ribosomal RNA". It matches the Rfam family "Bacterial small subunit ribosomal RNA", at positions 568 to 774 of the family's 1533-position model. The record is from RNAcentral.
CUCGUAGGCGGCCAACUAAGUCGGAUGUGAAAUCCCCAGGCUCAACCUGGGAACUGCAUCCGAUACUGGAUGGCUUGAAUUCGGGAGAGGGAUGCAGAAUUCCAGGUGUAGCGGUGAAAUGCGUAGAUAUCUGGAGGAAUACCGGUGGCGAAGGCGGCAUCCUGGACCGGACAUUGACGCUGAUGAGCGAAAGCUAGGGAGCAAACG